This is an RNA transcript of Haliaeetus leucocephalus (bald eagle), 5115 nucleotides long. It is a transcript of the gene named tumor necrosis factor receptor superfamily, member 4, with no coding region annotated. The record is from RefSeq and is a predicted model, not a curated record. Lineage: Eukaryota; Metazoa; Chordata; Aves; Accipitriformes; Accipitridae. The transcript has 9 exons.
UAUUCCUGUCUUGGAAUUUUGGAAGUUCAAACUAUUCUAGUUUGUCCAUAGACUUAUUUUUUUUUUUUUUUUAAUUCUCUAAGUAUUUUAUAUGCACUCAGUCUUUCUCAGAUUCUUGUAGGUCCUUUCCCAUAGGUGAACCCUUACUUGCCUGUAAUCCCGAAGGAAUCUAGUGACUUUAAAGCCUUUCAUUAAGCACUAGUUAGGAGUUCUGUGUUCAGUUUUGGGUGUUUUGUUUUUUUCAUGUACACAAGCGAUCUGCCUAGUGUUAAUAGGACUUGGUAUCUGAGUGCUACUGUCUCAUGAACAUGUUUCAUUUUUCCAGAUUUCAAAAGCUUGUAUAGAAUAUCUAGGAUAAGCAUCUAUAGUAAAAAAUGAUACAUGUAUAUUAAAUAAAAGCAGACAGGUUCUUAUUUCUGACCCAUAGCAUGGCUCAACUCACCACUCUGAAGCUCUCUUCUCCUAUUAGAACCAGAGUAGCUGACUCCAGGCUGUUUUUUGGGAGCAGCCUGUGACAUAUGAUCCCCAUGGCAGUGCCAAGCAGCAUUUGGGAGAGGUUAAUUUGCAUGAGUGAAAAUCCAGCCGAAAAGCGUGCUAGUUGUGAAAUGCUAUGGGGUAAUCACUGUGUUCUCUCCAUUUUAUUUUCUUGCAUAAUAUGGCCAUAUAAAGGAAUCUGGCAAUAGCAAGCCUGGUAACACUUAAGGAUGCCAUACAUAAAAGCUGAAUUCUCAAGAUGGUAUGUGGCUAACUGCUUUUAUUAAAUGAGCAUUUAAUUUGUAUUAAAGUAUCCUUAUCAAGAAUAUCAAUGCUUCAUCAUGACUGCUCUAGUAUUUUGGGAGUUUUCCAUUUAAAUGUAUAUAGCAGAAUUUUAACCUUAUCUUGUUUGUGAACAUCAUAGGAGUUGGCAUUUUCAGUUUCUUACUGAAUAAUAAUUGACUUACUGAAUAGGUAAAGUCUGCUACUGUUUGUGAAGGAGAAUUGGGGAAGAAAAAAAUCUGGUUAGAUACUGCUGAGGGAAUGACUGAGUCAUGAGGUAUAAAGCCACUUAAAUGGCACUGUGUGAUACAGUGGGAAGAGAUUUGGGUAUUUCCUGCAUGCAGGUACUGAGUGUGAAGGUAGUUGAAGUUCAGCUGGUAUGUCAGCACUGAUAGCUUUACUCCCUUUUGGAAAGAAUGGCUUAAGGUGUAGCUUCUUUUCCAUAGCGGUUGUUUUCCAAAAUGCUUGGAAAAUAGAAGUAGAAAAAUAGUUACUGUUUUGCCUGACUUUUGUCUCUCCUUCUACUCUUCAACAGUCUUACGGAAAUGUAAGAAAGAAAUGAAAAGCAGCAGUUCUGGAUAAAACAUGCCACGAUAUUGCUGUUCAGCCCUCCCAAAUACUGCAGGCUAAUUUGGAUUCCAAAUGUAUUUCUGUUCCAAUCAAAUCUCCCUUGCAUUUAGAUGUAGAUUGACUGUAGAUCUACUUUGUCUGGGAAGUCUGGCUGUGUUUUUUUAACUAACGUAAAUAAAACACCUUUGAUUACUGUAGGAUGUCUUGUUUACUUGGGCCUUUGUGUAAGAGUUGCUCAAGUCUCUUAGAACUGGAAGACCUAAAAUUUAGAUCCUAGAUCAGUAAGAUCAAAUAGGUAAAAUUCUAAUAGUAAGCAUGGAAAGUUAAACCCGCUAAUUCCUAGUGUGAUCACUUUACAUCCGUGUGUUAGGUGAGGGCAGGACUGCAAUGCUAGUGUGCUAAUCAGCCUCCUCCAUUGCUGUCCUAUUGUUGCUGGCUUGCAGAGCUGGAUGGAGAAGCAUUCUGGGGGUUUAGAUUCCAAAGUUAACAAAAUAGGCAUCAAAAGUAGCUGGUAUGUGAAUAUUGCAUCCUUUGCUUUCAUAGAGCACACCUCUGCUGGAAGCUUUUAUUUCCAUGUGAGCAAACGGUAGGGGUAACACAAAGUCUCUAUUUUGGAGUCAGGAGCUUACUUUUCUUCAGUGGCAAUGCAGGGAGUCUGGUAUUAAGAGUUGAAAUGGAGACUGAAAUGCUUCUCAUUUGUAGCUUUUGCUAGCUCCUGAAGGCAAUAUCAAGAUGAAGGAUGAUUUGUGAUUCCACACGCUCCCUGAGCAGAGAAAUGUAUUAAUGACAUUGUUUAUGCAGCAAUGAAAGUCACGGGUCAACUGUUACUGUGAAAUCAAGGGGAGAGAAUCUGUACUUCGCCUUUUAAGGAGCAAGCCUAUGUGAGCUAUGUUUCAUUGUACCUAUAGCUUUCACCUGUAAAGGUUUUCGGGCAUUACCUCUGUAUUGCUUUAAUACUCCCCCUUUACAAAACCAAGGAUCUUCUCUUCUAAUUCUCCCGGCAUUCAAGGCCUGUGCUUUAAUACUAUGUAGAGAGGUAUGUACCUGGCUGGAAGCACUGUUUUAAGGCUAUGAACAGGAAUCUUUUCAUAACGCUAUUCAGCAUGCUGUCUUUCUAUCUAUGAAUAUUUUAGUUGUGAACUGCAAAAAUAGGUUUGUGGGGUGUGGCCAAAAGGAUGAGGAUGUGGAGCACAUGCUGGGAAUUUCCCAGCAACUGACAUAUGAAUUUGUUCUGGUCACCAGGGGUUUAGAAUCACUUCCCCAAGGGUUUGCCGCUCUCAGAAUUUUGCUGGGACAGUAGGGCUGCAUUAUGAUAGCUGUAGGUUUUUACUCAUAUUUUUCUACUGUUCUGUUUUUGCUGCUGGUAGUCACUAUUAGCCAUUGCUUGGGAUUGAAAUGCAAAGAACAUCAACAUCCUUUCAGUGGAAAAUGCUGCAAGGACUGUGCCCCUGUUUGGCAAGUUGCUUUGCUCACAAACCUCAUCAUCCUAGCACAUCAGACAGAACUUCUGUGUGAAAGAAUGAGAAACCGCUGCACUGCAACAACAGACACGGUCUGCGCCCCCUGUCAAGAUGAAUACUUUAGUAGUGAGCACAACCACAACUUCUGCAAGAGUUGUACAAUCUGCAACACUAGGAAGGGAAGUGUGGAAGUGAAGAAGUGUGAGAAGACCUCUGACAGAAUUUGCAUGUGUGUUGCAGGUUACAUGCCAGAUGUCAGAUAUACACUGGGAAGUGAGUGCUCACUAUGUCCUGAAGGCUCUUAUUCCCUAGGGGGAAAUGAAAACUGUCGACCUUGGACCAACUGCAGCCUUCUUGGGAAAAAUACUCUUCGACCAGGGACAAAAACAGGUGAUGCUGUUUGCAGCAAUCAUGUCACACAGCCAGCUACCUCUCAGAGUGUCACACCUGCUGUGAAUCUCUCCACCACUGACCACAAGAAUAAUAAGUCAACUGCAGUGUUCUCACCAUCCAGACCCAGCGUGAUUCCUUUCAUUUGCCCGGAUACAAACAGCCCCACAGAGACUAACUGGGGGUCUUUAUCACUUAUCCUUAUUUGUCUGAUAUUGCUCGUGGUGAGUGGAAUGUCCAUACUCCUGUUGAUUAUCCAAGCAGCCAAAAAAGACACCAAGAAGAGGCCUUGUAGAAACAACCAUCAGAAUGGAAGGAGCGUUCGAAUUCCUAUCCAGGAAGAACAAAUUGACUCCAAUUCUAGUCUCAUCAAAAACUGACUCCACAUUACGUUACUGUUUCCUGCAUUUCUGAGCCGAUCGACUGUAACGAGUAUCUCCAGUGUUUCAGUCUAGUUCCCAAAUGAACUCUCCUCACUUUAGGUGGAGAAUCUCCCCUGAUGAACCUAGCCAGCUUCCUUUGUGCUUCCAUUUUUUCAAGUUAUUUCUUCUUGGUCAAGUUGAGUGAUUAUGUCACCUGUGCCUCCAGAGACAGUUGUCGUUGCUGGUAACUCUCGUGCUGGCUGUGCACCAAAAUAGUACCAGAAUUCUGGUGCUAGCUGUUAAGUGACUGUUGAGAGAUGGCUAUUCAAUGCCACUUCUCUCCUUUCUGCGUUUCUUCAAACAUACCAGUACAUUGAGAAAAUGUCAUGUUAACAUAUUGAGCAAUAUCCCCAUUGUCAGGCAACAAAUGGAAUUACUCAUGAUCACCAGGUAGCUCCAGACCUCCAAGCAUUUGGAAAUCUCCAUGGAGAUCUUGACAUGUGUGGAAAGUAGAAUAUGUAGAUUGCCAGAAGGCAAAGUGAAGGGUAAUUUCUGAUUAGAACAUUAUUAGUGGAAACCGUGGUUCAAAACAGGCGGAAAGGUAGAGUACCACUUGUCUGCACUGUAAACUUUAGAAGUUGCCAUGUAUAAUUAAUGUUUUAUCUAUAAGACCUGUGCAACCAAUACACUGUGUGCUUCCUCUUGGUGGACAUCCUGUUGUGCUGAAUACCUCAGUGUGUCUGUCAUCAGCAAGGCUGCUUCAGUCAAGCUUGGACAUCUCGACAGUAAAAUCGUUUAGGUUAAACUGCUUUUGUGGGACUUGAUUGCUUGCUGUGGAUGUAGGGAGACACCCACAGGCAAGUUUGGUUCCAGACAGUGCUCUGGAUUUGGGGAAAGUCUGUUUAUAUCUUAGGCUUAGGAGCAUGUACAUGGACAUUUAGAGUUUUUCUGCUGAUGAAUGAUAAUUUUGUGAUGAUUUAGAAAAGACUAACAUCUUAGAUGUUCUCUGUUGAUGAGAGGCAAGAGCUGAACUCUUAACACAGUGCUGUCUGGGCCUUCAAGGGUUGCAUUUGAACAAAGAUGUGCAGAGAUGGUGUAACAGUGGAUAGAUGCCUAAACUAUGGUCUGACCAUUCAUCUGGAUGAUCACGUUGUGGAUGCUGUCAAUGGAACCUGCGUUCAGAACUGAAGAAGUAUUCCUGAGUUGGUCUCUGUGCAGUUAAAAUACCUCAUUGUCUGUAUGAAAGGAAUUUUACUUCUGUAAUGUUUUUCCACAAGUUAAUCGGUCUGUAGUUUUGGAAAGCAUUCGCAUUUUUAGAUGGCAAGUUCAAAAUAUAAAGUGUCUGAGAGAAACCUGAAGUGUUAUUGUGAAUAGCUUUUGACGUAAUUUAAGUACUUUGGUGUAAAAGUUCAAGAGGUAAACUUGAAAGUUAUAUAAUUCAGAAGUGUUUUUCACUUCAAAUAUCACUCCUCAGUGGAUAACUCAUUAGCGAUAGGUAUUUUAUAUACACAGUACCAAAGCAUAUGUGAAAAUAUGCAACAGGAAAUGUAUUCAAGAAUACAACUGGUGUCUAGAAG